UACCUUAAUCCAAAAUACAUGGUAUGUCAAAUAUGAUACUUUUUCCAAUGGGAAUGAAAGAAAAAUAAGGGUAUAUAAAUGAAGAUUAAGCCAACAGUGAUGUUAAACACAAGCUGCAUGCUACCCAAAGUUUUAUGUACUUAAUAAAUUAAGAGUAGGCCACAGUUUCGUUCUGAGUUUCCUAGUGGCCAGUGCAAAGUGGACAUAGGAUUAAAGUUUCUUAGUGGAUAUACAGCUUAAUAGAAAGAUAGAUGAAAACUAUCCUACCAUAUAGUGUAAUAGACUUGAGAGCUGAAUCUUUUUCUUUGUUUCUCUUGAGUGCUGGGGAUCCUGUUUGAUCACCCAGGGUCUUGCACAUGCUAGGCACCCAGAGAGUUGAUUUUGACUAAUAUCAGAUGUCAAAUAACUUAUCAGUGCUUUUUAAGUCUGUUGUUUCUUUCUUUGAAGGAAAGAGACUAUCUUGAGUUUCUUGGUCCCCUGUGAAUUAUUGUCCCUUCUCUCAAAAGCAUAAGCAAGCCUGAAAAGAUCCGCUAGUUUGUUCAAAUUAUUCUCAAUUCUUUUGGAACUUCCUAAUGCUCCUGUCAUGUGGUUCCAAGUUUAACCAUAGUCAUUUUGGACAUGAUUUUGUUUCCACAGUGAUGUAUGUCAGCAACCACAGAGUGAGCUUCUUGUAUUUUUAUAUCAAUUUAACACCCUUUGUUUAUUUGUUCCUCAGGUUUCACUUUCGCUUAUGUAAUGGGCUAUGGCAUUUUUCAGUCAUUACCUCAUGCUGGGAUCUCCUUUUUCUUUAUACCUCCUGAUGUGUC
RNAcentral lists this long non-coding RNA (806 nucleotides) under Marmota monax (woodchuck). The record is from RNAcentral. Lineage: Eukaryota; Metazoa; Chordata; Mammalia; Rodentia; Sciuridae.